UACGGAGGAUCCAAGCGUUAUCCGGAUUUAUUGGGUUUAAAGGGUGCGCAGGCGGAAGAUUAAGUCGGCGGUGAAAUUUUGCAGCUCAACUGUAAAAGUGCCAUCGAUACUGGUUUUCUUGAGUGUGGAUGAAGUAGGCGGAAUUUGUGGUGUAGCGGCGAAAUGCAUAGAUAUCACGAGGAACUCCGAUUGCGCAGGCAGCUUACUAGGCCAUAACUGACACUCAGGCACGAAGGCGUGGGGAUCAAACAGGAUUAGAUACCCGU
RNAcentral lists this ribosomal RNA (266 nucleotides) under uncultured prokaryote. Its description in RNAcentral is "partial 16S ribosomal RNA". It matches the Rfam family "Bacterial small subunit ribosomal RNA", at positions 524 to 789 of the family's 1533-position model. The record is from RNAcentral.